Molecule: ribosomal RNA, 864 nt
Filed under: Lactiplantibacillus plantarum
Lineage: Bacteria; Bacillati; Bacillota; Bacilli; Lactobacillales; Lactobacillaceae
Description: bacterial SSU rRNA
Rfam family: Bacterial small subunit ribosomal RNA
Source: RNAcentral
AUUGAUUGGUGCUUGCAUCAUGAUUUACAUUUGAGUGAGUGGCGAACUGGUGAGUAACACGUGGGAAACCUGCCCAGAAGCGGGGGAUAACACCUGGAAACAGAUGCUAAUACCGCAUAACAACUUGGACCGCAUGGUCCGAGUUUGAAAGAUGGCUUCGGCUAUCACUUUUGGAUGGUCCCGCGGCGUAUUAGCUAGAUGGUGGGGUAACGGCUCACCAUGGCAAUGAUACGUAGCCGACCUGAGAGGGUAAUCGGCCACAUUGGGACUGAGACACGGCCCAAACUCCUACGGGAGGCAGCAGUAGGGAAUCUUCCACAAUGGACGAAAGUCUGAUGGAGCAACGCCGCGUGAGUGAAGAAGGGUUUCGGCUCGUAAAACUCUGUUGUUAAAGAAGAACAUAUCUGAGAGUAACUGUUCAGGUAUUGACGGUAUUUAACCAGAAAGCCACGGCUAACUACGUGCCAGCAGCCGCGGUAAUACGUAGGUGGCAAGCGUUGUCCGGAUUUAUUGGGCGUAAAGCGAGCGCAGGCGGUUUUUUAAGUCUGAUGUGAAAGCCUUCGGCUCAACCGAAGAAGUGCAUCGGAAACUGGGAAACUUGAGUGCAGAAGAGGACAGUGGAACUCCAUGUGUAGCGGUGAAAUGCGUAGAUAUAUGGAAGAACACCAGUGGCGAAGGCGGCUGUCUGGUCUGUAACUGACGCUGAGGCUCGAAAGUAUGGGUAGCAAACAGGAUUAGAUACCCUGGUAGUCCAUACCGUAAACGAUGAAUGCUAAGUGUUGGAGGGUUUCCGCCCUUCAGUGCUGCAGCUAACGCAUUAAGCAUUCCGCCUGGGGAGUACGGCCGCAAGGCUGAAACUCAAAG